RNAcentral lists this ribosomal RNA (373 nucleotides) under uncultured organism. RNAcentral describes it as "partial 16S ribosomal RNA". It matches the Rfam family "Bacterial small subunit ribosomal RNA", at positions 527 to 896 of the family's 1533-position model. The record is from RNAcentral.
GUAGGUGGCAAGCGUUGUCCGGAAUUAUUGGGCGUAAAGCGCGCGCAGGUGGUUCUUUAAGUCUGAUGUGAAAGCCCCCGGCUCAACCGGGGAGGGUCAUUGGAAACUGGGGAACUUGAGUGCAGGAGAGGGAAGUGGAAUUCCACGUGUAGCGGUGAAAUGCGUAGAUAUGUGGAGGAACACCAGUGGCGAAGGCGACUUUCUGGCCUGUAACUGACACUGAGGCGCGAAAGCGUGGGGAGCAAACAGGGAUUAGAUACCCUGGUAGUCCACGCCGUAAACGAUGAGUGCUAAGUGUUGGGGGGGUUUCCCGCCCCUCAGUGCUGCAGCUAACGCAUUAAGCACUCCGCCUGGGGAUACGGUCGCAAGACUG